AAACGAAUUAAUUGAAUUAAAAUAAAUUUGAGUAAAGCAAAAUUCAUUUUUUGUUUGAAUAAGGGAGAACCAUCUUCAAAACAAAUAAAUAUUUAAAAUAUAUCAAUAGAGAAUAGUACUGUGAAGGAAAGAUGAAAAAGAACCUUUAUAAUAUAUAUGGAGUGAAAUAGAACUUAAAAUUAAAUACAUAAAAGCGAUUGAAGUAACUUUAAAUAUGUUAUGACAAUGUACCUUUUGUAUAAUGGGUCAGCGAGUUAAUAUAAUUAGUAAUUUUAAAAUUAUUGAAAGAUUUUAAAAGAUAGCGAAAAGCGAGUUUUAAUUAAGCAUUAAUUAAUUAUAUAUUACCCGAAACGGAUGAUCUAAACAUGUUUAGAUUAAAUAAAAAAAUUUAUAAAUUUUAUAUAAUUAUUUAAUUAUAUAAAAUAGGUAUAUUAAUUAUAAUAGGAGUCAACUCGUGUAUGUUGU
Molecule: ribosomal RNA, 465 nt
Filed under: uncultured bacterium
Lineage: Bacteria
Description: bacterial LSU rRNA
Source: RNAcentral